Molecule: ribosomal RNA, 207 nt
Filed under: uncultured bacterium
Lineage: Bacteria
Description: partial 16S ribosomal RNA
Rfam family: Bacterial small subunit ribosomal RNA
Source: RNAcentral
CGCGUAGGUGGCCUGAUAAGGGUGUGGUGAAAGUCCGGGGCUCAACCCCGGAUCGGCCGUGCCGACUGUUAGGCCAGAGUACUGUAGGGGCAGGCGGAAUUCCGGGUGUAGCGGUGGAAUGCGUAGAGAUCCGGAGGAAGACCGGUGGCGAAGGCGGCCUGCUGGGCAGUUACUGACACUGAGGCGCGACAGCGUGGGGAGCAAACA